GACGAACGCUGGCGGCGUGCUUAACACAUGCAAGUCGAACGGAAAGGCCCUGCUUUUGUGGGGUGCUCGAGUGGCGAACGGGUGAGUAACACGUGAGUAACCUGCCCUUGACUUUGGGAUAACUUCAGGAAACUGGGGCUAAUACCGGAUAGGAGCUCCUGCUGCAUGGUGGGGGUUGGAAAGUUUCGGCGGUUGGGGAUGGACUCGCGGCUUAUCAGCUUGUUGGUGGGGUAGUGGCUUACCAAGGCUUUGACGGGUAGCCGGCCUGAGAGGGUGACCGGCCACAUUGGGACUGAGGUACGGCCCAGACUCCUACGGGAGGCAGCAGGGGGGAAUAUUGCACAAUGGGCGGAAGCCUGAUGCAGCAAUGCCGCGUGCGGGAUGACGGCCUUCGGGUUGUAAACCGCUUUCGCCUGUGACGAAGCGUGAGUGACGGUAAUGGGUAAAGAAGCACCGGCUAACUACGUG
This 468-nucleotide ribosomal RNA is filed under the name uncultured bacterium. RNAcentral describes it as "partial 16S ribosomal RNA". It matches the Rfam family "Bacterial small subunit ribosomal RNA", at positions 28 to 507 of the family's 1533-position model. The record is from RNAcentral.